CAUUCGAGUGGCGGACGGGUGAGUAACGCGUGGGUAACCUGCCUUACACAGGGGGAGUAACACCUGGAAACAGGUGCUAAUACCGCAUAAGCGCACAGGGCCGCAUGGCCCGGUGUGAAAAACUCCGGUGGUGUAAGAUGGACCCGCGUCUGAUUAGCUUGUUGGCGGGGUAGGGGCCCACCAAGGCGACGAUCAGUAGCCGGCCUGAGAGGGUGGACGGCCACAUUGGGACUGAGACACGGCCCAAACUCCUACGGAAGGCAGCAG
RNAcentral lists this ribosomal RNA (267 nucleotides) under uncultured bacterium. RNAcentral describes it as "partial 16S ribosomal RNA". It matches the Rfam family "Bacterial small subunit ribosomal RNA", at positions 88 to 354 of the family's 1533-position model. The record is from RNAcentral.